CCUACGGGUGGCAGCAGUGAGGAAUAUUGGUCAAUGGCCGGAAGGCUGAACCAGCCAAGCCGCGUGAGGGAGGAAUGCGCAGAGCGUCGCAGACCUCUUUUGCCGGGGGACAAAAGGCCGGACUCGUCCGUUCCUCAGGGUACCCGGAGAAAAAGCAUCGGCUAACUCCGUGCCAGCAGACACUGUAAUACGGGGGAUGCGCGCGUUAUCCGGAUUCAUUGGGUUUAAAGGGUUCGCUGGGGGGCCUUUAAGACGGCGGUGAAAUCGCGGGGCUCAACCCCGCCGAGCCGGCGGAACUGGGGGCCUUGAGGGCGGCGGAGGCAUGCGGAAUGCGUGGUGUAGCGGUGAAAUGCAGAGAUAUCGCGCAGAACCCCGAUUGCGAAGGCAGCGUGCCGUGCCGCCACUGACGCUGAGGCACGAAAGCGCGGGGAUCGAACAGGAUUAGAUACCCCUGUAGUC
RNAcentral lists this ribosomal RNA (459 nucleotides) under uncultured bacterium. RNAcentral's name for it is "partial 16S ribosomal RNA". It matches the Rfam family "Bacterial small subunit ribosomal RNA", at positions 338 to 795 of the family's 1533-position model. The record is from RNAcentral.